Molecule: non-coding RNA, 432 nt
Organism: Paramuricea clavata
Lineage: Eukaryota; Metazoa; Cnidaria; Anthozoa; Malacalcyonacea; Plexauridae
Source: the annotation of a GenBank genome assembly
GGUUGGAUUGGCAAUUGAGCAUUGCACCAUGAUCACUUACAAUAAUGUGGAAACUGGAGAAGUAAGUCACAUGACCAUUGAAACUGUUUGUAAUUAGCAUUCGAAUUUGGAUGAAUGUUUUCUUGUUUGUUUUUAGAGUGAAACAGCUUCUGUGACAUUGUUAUCAGCUGGUCAUUGUAUUGGAUCUGUGAUGUAUGCUAUUUAAUUCUUUGUUAGCUUAUAGCCCCUGCAGUCAAUUACAGUAAACAAGGAUAUGAGAGUUGAGAGGCGAGAGUUUGCACGAGAAUUGACUUGGCUAUUACCACACCUAAUUAGGCAAAACUCUUAUCAACUCUCAAGAAAAUUUGAACCGGCUCAAAUAGUCAAUUGUUACUUACUGUAAAGCAGCAUUUGAAUAUAUUCCAGCCCACUAUACUAGGGGCGCACCGGAAC